GUAGGUGGCAAGCGUUGUCCGGAAUUAUUGGGCGUAAAGCGCGCGCAGGUGGGUUCUUUAAGUCUGAUGUGAAAGCCCCCGGGCUCAACCGGGGAGGGUCAUUGGAAACUGGGGAACUUGAGUGCAGGAGAGGAAAGCGGAAUUCCACGUGUAGCGGUGAAAUGCGUAGAUAUGUGGAGGAACACCAGUGGCGAAGGCGACUUUCUGGCCUGUAACUGACACUGAGGCGCGAAAGCGUGGGGAGCAAACAGGAUUAGAUACCCUGGUAGUCCACGCCGUAAACGAUGAGUGCUAAGUGUUGGGGGGUUUCCGCCCCUCAGUGCUGCAGCUAACGCAUUAAGCACUCCGCCUGGGGAGUACGGUCGCAAGACUG
This 373-nucleotide ribosomal RNA is filed under the name uncultured organism. RNAcentral's name for it is "partial 16S ribosomal RNA". It matches the Rfam family "Bacterial small subunit ribosomal RNA", at positions 527 to 896 of the family's 1533-position model. The record is from RNAcentral.